AUUAUAAUUAAAUAUUUGAAUAUCAUUUUAUACAAAUUUUACAAUUUAUUUUUGUACUGCAUCUCCAUUUCAGGCAAGAACACCAAAAAGCUUGGCAUUUGGGGUUAAUGAAGGUCCUGUUCUAGCUUGACAAAAAAGUUACUAGACAUAGAUAUCUAUCCAAGGUGCCCAACCUGACCCAAUCGAGUUUAGGUGGUUUGUAGAAGCCAAUCCUUUUUAGUCUAAUAUCUUAACAUUGUAACUAUUGUGCCCACUUGGCUGGGCGGCAAUGAACUGUGAUUGGUCCUACCUUGGCCGUGGUUCCCUAAACCAUGGGCUUGUCCGUAAUGGAACUAAAAUUCCUUUGGUAUUGGUGCUAGCCUUAUAUGCAAUAAGUAAAAGAAAAAGUAUCAAAGAUCAAAGUUUUGAAAUAAUUUAAAUUGAAAAAAUAAAAUUAAAAUCAAUGUAUCUCCUCCAUCCACAUACAUCUUACACCUGCACAUCAUAUGUUUGAUUAAAUUCCUUAAAGAAUGUUUAGCACAUCAAAUUUUUUAGGUCUGCAUUACGUACUUUUUAUAUACCUAACGCAUUUGCAAGUUAUAACUGAUGCUGGUGUUAAACAUCAAUCUGUUGUUCACAUGUUGCCUGGCUAUUCACUUGGUCCUUAUUUCGUGUAUAUAUUGUGGAGAAAGACAUCUAACAGAUGUUUAACUUCAUGGAGUGAUGAAGUCUCAUGGUUAUGUUUUCCUUCUGUGUCCACAUUGCCCAUUCAUGUCAAAAUAUGCCCUCUUUUGUUGGAGGUAAGCUACUAGCAGGUAGAUCUCCUUUUGUCAUAUGGCUAUGAAGAUGCCUUAAAAGCCCUCAUCCCACAUGUCCCUCAACGCUGCCAAUGCCUUCUCAUGCCUGCUACUUCAAGGUUGCAAGCUGGGGUGCUUACUUGUUGAAAAGAAAUGUAUUGGCAAUGUCCUUUGCACUGAGGGACUCACACGAGGCACAAGUGCAAUUUGCUUUGGAAAGAGGUGUGCCUGCAGUUAUUAGUGUGCUUGGAACCAUACAGCUCCCUUACCCAUCUAGAGCCUUUAACAUGGCUCACUGUUUGCAUUGCUUAA
Magnolia sinica is the source of this 1088-nucleotide long non-coding RNA. RefSeq lists it as uncharacterized. The record is from RefSeq and is a predicted model, not a curated record. The transcript is spliced from 3 exons. NCBI's taxonomy places the organism in Eukaryota, Viridiplantae, Streptophyta, Magnoliopsida, Magnoliales, Magnoliaceae.